RNAcentral lists this ribosomal RNA (1270 nucleotides) under Bacillus licheniformis. RNAcentral describes it as "bacterial SSU rRNA". It matches the Rfam family "Bacterial small subunit ribosomal RNA", at positions 109 to 1364 of the family's 1533-position model. Lineage: Bacteria; Bacillati; Bacillota; Bacilli; Caryophanales; Bacillaceae. The record is from RNAcentral.
AGUAACACGUGGGUAACCUGCCUGUAAGACUGGGAUAACUCCGGGAAACCGGGGCUAAUACCGGAUGCUUGAUUGAACCGCAUGGUUCAAUUAUAAAAGGUGGCUUUUAGCUACCACUUACAGAUGGACCCGCGGCGCAUUAGCUAGUUGGUGAGGUAACGGCUCACCAAGGCAACGAUGCGUAGCCGACCUGAGAGGGUGAUCGGCCACACUGGGACUGAGACACGGCCCAGACUCCUACGGGAGGCAGCAGUAGGGAAUCUUCCGCAAUGGACGAAAGUCUGACGGAGCAACGCCGCGUGAGUGAUGAAGGUUUUCGGAUCGUAAAACUCUGUUGUUAGGGAAGAACAAGUACCGUUCGAAUAGGGCGGUACCUUGACGGUACCUAACCAGAAAGCCACGGCUAACUACGUGCCAGCAGCCGCGGUAAUACGUAGGUGGCAAGCGUUGUCCGGAAUUAUUGGGCGUAAAGCGCGCGCAGGCGGUUUCUUAAGUCUGAUGUGAAAGCCCCCGGCUCAACCGGGGAGGGUCAUUGGAAACUGGGGAACUUGAGUGCAGAAGAGGAGAGUGGAAUUCCACGUGUAGCGGUGAAAUGCGUAGAGAUGUGGAGGAACACCAGUGGCGAAGGCGACUCUCUGGUCUGUAACUGACGCUGAGGCGCGAAAGCGUGGGGAGCGAACAGGAUUAGAUACCCUGGUAGUCCACGCCGUAAACGAUGAGUGCUAAGUGUUAGAGGGUUUCCGCCCUUUAGUGCUGCAGCAAACGCAUUAAGCACUCCGCCUGGGGAGUACGGUCGCAAGACUGAAACUCAAAGGAAUUGACGGGGGCCCGCACAAGCGGUGGAGCAUGUGGUUUAAUUCGAAGCAACGCGAAGAACCUUACCAGGUCUUGACAUCCUCUGACAACCCUAGAGAUAGGGCUUCCCCUUCGGGGGCAGAGUGACAGGUGGUGCAUGGUUGUCGUCAGCUCGUGUCGUGAGAUGUUGGGUUAAGUCCCGCAACGAGCGCAACCCUUGAUCUUAGUUGCCAGCAUUCAGUUGGGCACUCUAAGGUGACUGCCGGUGACAAACCGGAGGAAGGUGGGGAUGACGUCAAAUCAUCAUGCCCCUUAUGACCUGGGCUACACACGUGCUACAAUGGGCAGAACAAAGGGCAGCGAAGCCGCGAGGCUAAGCCAAUCCCACAAAUCUGUUCUCAGUUCGGAUCGCAGUCUGCAACUCGACUGCGUGAAGCUGGAAUCGCUAGUAAUCGCGGAUCAGCAUGCCGCGGUG